CCUGUUCCCAAGGACAGGCCGGGCGUGAAGGCCGAUAUGCACAGAUUCCUGUUGCUGUUGGACAAUUAAACUGUACGCGAAAGUGAAAGCAGCGCAGGAGAAACCCGAGUUUGCACAAGUGAAAAUGUGGAAGACCUUUUUUUUUUUCUGAAUGUGAAAUACCAAGGAGUCGUAUCUGCAGGGGACUUCCAGCGACAUUGAUUAACUAUUUCUGGGCUGCUCGUUGAAUGGCGCAACGUCCCCGCAGCUAAACUUGUAUGGCAACCGUGAUUAAAGCUCUUCAAUGGAAUCUGGACGACAGACAAAUGGAUCAGGACGAGCAUCUCCCCCGAAGCGGAAACCACGCUUGGCUCCGAACGCUUGGCAUGAAACACAGCAGGAGACCACCCAUCGUAACGCUACUGGACGCGAGGGGGUCCGCCCAGCGGGGGGCUAAUGUGGACCACGUUUCCUCUCGGAAUAACAAGCGCUCAAAGCAGCUCGUCCGUCAGUGAAGUAACAUACAAAUAAAGAUAUACGAACUCCGGGGCCCUAAUAUAAU
Molecule: long non-coding RNA, 541 nt
Filed under: Betta splendens (Siamese fighting fish)
Lineage: Eukaryota; Metazoa; Chordata; Actinopteri; Anabantiformes; Osphronemidae
Description: lncRNA (ENSBSLG00000010667.1)
Source: RNAcentral